This is a long non-coding RNA of Triticum aestivum (bread wheat), 643 nucleotides long. RefSeq lists it as uncharacterized. Lineage: Eukaryota; Viridiplantae; Streptophyta; Magnoliopsida; Poales; Poaceae. The transcript has 3 exons. The record is from RefSeq and is a predicted model, not a curated record.
CAGACUGUUGAAGAUUAACCAGCGAAAAAAAACGGCAUUGGUCUUGAACGAGUACGAGCUCGCCUCCUCUCCCUCUCGCUCAAGUCCUCGCCGUCGCCACCACCACCCACGCCGGCAGCUUCCGGCGAGCUCCGGCGCCCCGCAGCACACCCCCGAACUCCCCACGGUCCGCUCCUCCCUACCCUCCGGCCAGAUUCUCCGCUCCCGGUCUCUACCGCCCGCUCGAAACGCCACCCCCAUGGCUAGGGUUUCGGGCAGGGCUUCACCGGCGCGUCUCCGGCGGCCCAGAUGCAGAUGGAGCACGCCAUGGGAGUUCCCCAUCCACCAUGGUCGCCGCCGUCAAGGGCUUCUUCACGGAGAUGUGGAGGACGCCAUGGACCUGCAGCUCCUCAAGGUUCUAUCUUGUCCACAUCCCCUCCCCUCCCCUCCCCUUCCCGUCCCUUCCUCAUCUCGUUUCCUUCCCUUCCCACGCAGGUCAACAGGGAGGAACCCUAGCCAGCAGCACCUCCUCGGAUGACGCCUCUGCUACACCAAGAUAGAGAGAUAUAUGAUAUCUACAUGGCUGCUAUGCUACUUUUUUUGUGUGAUGAAUCAUUGUGAGUUUCGAAGAAACUUCCAAUGUUACCUCCGCCAAGUUUGCCGG